RNAcentral lists this ribosomal RNA (484 nucleotides) under uncultured bacterium. RNAcentral's name for it is "partial 16S ribosomal RNA". It matches the Rfam family "Bacterial small subunit ribosomal RNA", at positions 30 to 507 of the family's 1533-position model. The record is from RNAcentral.
AUUGAACGCUGGCGGCAGGCCUAACACAUGCAAGUCGAGCGGAUGAAGGGAGCUUGCUCCUGGAUUCAGCGGCGGACGGGUGAGUAAUGCCUAGGAAUCUGCCUGGUAGUGGGGGAUAACGUCCGGAAACGGGCGCUAAUACCGCAUACGUCCUGAGGGAGAAAGUGGGGGAUCUUCGGACCUCACGCUAUCAGAUGGGCCUAGGUCGGAUUAGCUAGUUGGUGGGGUAAAGGCCUACCAAGGCGACGAUCCGUAACUGGUCUGAGAGGAUGAUCAGUCACACUGGAACUGAGACACGGUCCAGACUCCUACGGGAGGCAGCAGUGGGGAAUAUUGGACAAUGGGCGAAAGCCUGAUCCAGCCAUGCCGCGUGUGUGAAGAAGGUCUUCGGAUUGUAAAGCACUUUAAGUUGGGAGGAAGGGCAGUAAGUUAAUACCUUGCUGCUUUGACGUUACCAACAGAAUAAGCACCGGCUAACUUCGUG